Molecule: ribosomal RNA, 253 nt
Filed under: uncultured bacterium
Lineage: Bacteria
Description: partial 16S ribosomal RNA
Rfam family: Bacterial small subunit ribosomal RNA
Source: RNAcentral
UACGGAGGGUGCAAACGUUGCUCGGAAUCAUUGGGCGUAAAGCGCACGUAGGCGGUUUGGCAAGUCGGGUGUGAAAUCCCUCGGCUUAACCGAGGAAGUGCAUUCGAAACUACCAAGCUUGAAUACUCAAGAGGGUCUCGGAAUUCCCGGUGUAGAGGUGAAAUUCGUAGAUAUCGGGAGGAACACCAGUGGCGAAGGCGGCGAUCUGGGCAGAUACUGACGCUGAGGUGCGAAAGCGUGGGGAGCAAACAGG